RNAcentral lists this unclassified non-coding RNA (266 nucleotides) under Hevea brasiliensis (rubber tree). The record is from RNAcentral. Lineage: Eukaryota; Viridiplantae; Streptophyta; Magnoliopsida; Malpighiales; Euphorbiaceae.
CUUGACGGCAUCCUCCCCGUCGCCUCUUUAUCCAUUCCUUUUAACUGUUCUUCUCGUUGUCGCUUCCUCUACUCCUCUCUUCAAGAUUCCAGUCUUUCACGCUGAUAGGACUGAUGAAAAUACUUCACCAAAUUCUUGUGCACAAAUCAUUGGUAGCUGUAGAAGUGGAGACAGCUAGGAAGGAGGUGGAAAUGGCAGCGGAACCGGUUUUGGAGAAGUGCUUGCAGGAUUGGGAGAUUGUCUAGCCCCUCUACAUCGGUUCAUAU